CGAUCGAGCCAGCUUGCUGGUGAAGUGACUGAACGAGGUUCCAGGAAAAGCCACUAAGCUUCAGCUAUAUACGACCGUACCGCAAACCGACACUGGUGCGCGAGAUGAGUAUUCUAAGGCGCUUGAGAGAACUCAGGAGAAGGAACUCGGCAAAUUGACACCGUAACUUCGGAAGAAGGUGUGCCCUAUUAGUGUGAAGUGAACAACGGAGCAUGAAUGGGUUGCAAAAAAUCGGUGGCUGCGACUGUUUAUUAAAAACACAGCA
RNAcentral lists this ribosomal RNA (265 nucleotides) under Pseudoxanthomonas sp. KAs_5_3. RNAcentral's name for it is "partial 23S ribosomal RNA". It matches the Rfam family "Bacterial large subunit ribosomal RNA", at positions 1566 to 1820 of the family's 2925-position model. Lineage: Bacteria; Pseudomonadati; Pseudomonadota; Gammaproteobacteria; Lysobacterales; Lysobacteraceae. The record is from RNAcentral.